RNAcentral lists this ribosomal RNA (286 nucleotides) under uncultured bacterium. Its description in RNAcentral is "partial 16S ribosomal RNA". It matches the Rfam family "Bacterial small subunit ribosomal RNA", at positions 524 to 803 of the family's 1533-position model. The record is from RNAcentral.
UACGGAGGGUGCGAGCGUUGUCCGGAAUCAUUGGGCGUAAAGGGCGCGUAGGUGGCCCGGUCAGUUCGUGGUGAAAGCGCGGGGCUCAACCCUGCGUCGGCCAUGAAUACUGCCGCGGCUGGAGCACUGUAGAGGCAGGCGGAAUUCCGGGUGUAGCGGUGGAAUGCGUAGAGAUCCGGAAGAACACCAGUGGCGAAGGCGGCCCGCUGGGCAGUGGGCUGACGCUGAAGCGCGACAGCGUGGGGAGCAAACGAGGAUUGAUAUACCCCAGUACCGUCGAGACCCA